UUGCGCCUGUUUAACAAAAACAUUGCCUCACGAUAAAACCAAUAUGAGGUACCUCCUGCCCAGUGACCCUUAAACGGCCGCGGUAUCCUGACCGUGCAAAGGUAGCAUAAUAAUUUGCCUCUUAAUUAGAGGCUAGAAUGAACGGACAAACGAAAGCUUUAUUGUCUCCUAUAUAUUUCAAGAAAAUUAACCUUCAGGUGAAGAGGCCUGAAUUAAUCUAAAGGACAAAAAGACCCUAUCGAGCUUCACUUAUAAAUUUAUAUCAAUACAAAAUACAACCAAUAAAUAAUAAGUUUAGUUGGGGCGACUAAGGACCACCCAAUUUACUAUCACUCCACAAACGUCCUUCUUAUAAAGACCUAAAAGUCCACCACACGAUCCACGAACCCACUGAUCAACUGAACAAGCUACCGUAGGGAUAACAGACUAAUCCUCCUAAAGAGCCCAAAUCGCCAGGAGGGAUUGGCACCUCGAUGUUGGCUUAGGAAUCUAUUGAGCGCAGCAGCCCAAAAAAGAAG
RNAcentral lists this ribosomal RNA (518 nucleotides) under Arabella iricolor. Its description in RNAcentral is "partial 16S ribosomal RNA". It matches the Rfam family "Bacterial large subunit ribosomal RNA", at positions 1794 to 2574 of the family's 2925-position model. Lineage: Eukaryota; Metazoa; Annelida; Polychaeta; Eunicida; Oenonidae. The record is from RNAcentral.